CACGUGGGUAACCUGCCCAUAAGACUGGGAUAACUCCGGGAAACCGGGGCUAAUACCGGAUAACAUUUUGAACUGCAUGGUUCGAAAUUGAAAGGCGGCUUCGGCUGUCACUUAUGGAUGGACCCGCGUCGCAUUAGCUAGUUGGUGAGGUAACGGCUCACCAAGGCAACGAUGCGUAGCCGACCUGAGAGGGUGAUCGGCCACACUGGGACUGAGACACGGCCCAGACUCCUACGGGAGGCAGCAGUAGGGAAUCUUCCGCAAUGGACGAAAGUCUGACGGAGCAACGCCCCGUGAGUGAUGAAGGCUUUCGGGUCGUAAAACUCUGUUGUUAGGGAAGAACAAGUGCUAGUUGAAUAAGCUGGCACCUUGACGGUACCUAACCAGAAAGCCACGGCUAACUACGUGCCAGCAGCCGCGGUAAUACGUAGGUGGCAAGCGUUAUCCGGAAUUAUUGGGCGUAAAAGCGCGCCCAGGUGGUUUCUUAAGUCUGAUGUGAAUCAUUGGAAACUGGGGAGACUUGAAUGCAGAGGAGGAAACGUGGAAUUCCCUUGUGUAGCGGUGAAAUGCGUGGGGAUAUGGUGGGAACACCAUUGGGGGAAAGGCG
RNAcentral lists this ribosomal RNA (607 nucleotides) under Bacillus cereus. Its description in RNAcentral is "bacterial SSU rRNA". It matches the Rfam family "Bacterial small subunit ribosomal RNA", at positions 114 to 724 of the family's 1533-position model. Lineage: Bacteria; Bacillati; Bacillota; Bacilli; Caryophanales; Bacillaceae. The record is from RNAcentral.